ACGUCAAAUCAGCACGGCCCUUACGUCCAGGGCUACACACGUGCUACAAUGGCCGGUACAAAGGGCAGCUACCUGGUGACAGGAUGACUAAUCUACAAAAGCCGGUCUCAGUUCGGAUCGGAGUCUGCAACCCGACUCCGUGAAGCUGGAUUCGCUAGUAAUCGCGCAUCAGCCACGGCGCGGUGAAUACGUUCCCGGGCCUU
RNAcentral lists this ribosomal RNA (203 nucleotides) under uncultured Sphingobacteriales bacterium. RNAcentral describes it as "partial 16S ribosomal RNA". It matches the Rfam family "Bacterial small subunit ribosomal RNA", at positions 1182 to 1382 of the family's 1533-position model. The record is from RNAcentral. Lineage: Bacteria; Pseudomonadati; Bacteroidota; Sphingobacteriia; Sphingobacteriales.